UAGGGAAUAUUGCGCAAUGGGCGAAAGCCUGACGCAGCGACACCGUGUGUAGGAUGAAGAUCUUCGGAUUGUAAACUACUGUCAGUUGAAGACGAAGGCAGUAGAGUUAAGAGCUCGAAUGCUGACGGUAUUCAAUUAGGAAGUCUCGGCUAACUCCGUGCCAGCAGCCGCGGUAAGACGGAGGAGGCAAGCAUUGUCCGGAAUUAUUGGGCGUAAAGAACACGUAGGCGGUUUGCCAAGUCAUAUGUGAAAACCUUGGGCUUAACUUAAGGAUUGCAUAUGAUACUGGUAAACUAGAGUAUAGUAGAGGAAAGUGGAAUUCCUGGUGUAGCGGUGAAAUGCGCAGAUAUCAGGAAGAACACCAGUGGCGAAAGCGGCUUUCUGGACUGUUACUGACGCUGAGGUGUGAAAGCUAGGGGAGCGAACA
Molecule: ribosomal RNA, 427 nt
Filed under: uncultured prokaryote
Description: bacterial SSU rRNA
Rfam family: Bacterial small subunit ribosomal RNA
Source: RNAcentral